RNAcentral lists this ribosomal RNA (253 nucleotides) under uncultured bacterium. RNAcentral describes it as "partial 16S ribosomal RNA". It matches the Rfam family "Bacterial small subunit ribosomal RNA", at positions 524 to 776 of the family's 1533-position model. The record is from RNAcentral.
GACAGAGGGGGCAAGCGUUGCUCGGAAUCACUGGGCGUAAAGGGCGCGUAGGCGGGAUGGCAAGUCGGUCGUGAAAUCCUUCGGCUCAACCGAAGAACGUCGGCCGAUACUGCCGUUCUUGAGGGAUGCAGAGGAGAUUGGAAUUCCCGGUGUAGCGGUGAAAUGUGUAGAGAUCGGGAGGAACACCGGUGGCGAAGGCGGGUCUCUGGGCCACUACUGACGCUGAGAAGCGAAAGCGUGGGGAGCGAACAGG